RNAcentral lists this ribosomal RNA (374 nucleotides) under uncultured eukaryote. RNAcentral's name for it is "partial 18S ribosomal RNA". It matches the Rfam family "Eukaryotic small subunit ribosomal RNA", at positions 592 to 976 of the family's 1831-position model. The record is from RNAcentral.
CAAGAGCGUAUGUAAAAGUUGUUACAGUUAAAAAGCUCGUAGUUGAACCUUAGGUUUGGUUGGCCGGUCCGCUUUUUUGCGAGUACUGGAUUCAACCGAGCCUUUCCUUCUGGCUAACCAGUCGUUUCGGCGGCUGGCGAACCAGGAUUUUUACUUUGAGAAAAUUAGAGUGUUCAAAGCAGGCAUUAGCUUGAAUAUAUUAGCAUGGAAUAAUAGAAUAGGACGUUAUGGUUCUAUUUUGUUGGUUUCUAGGACCAUCGUAAUGAUUAAUAGGGACGGUCGGGGGCAUCAGUAUUCAGUUGUCAGAGGUGAAAUUCUUGGAUUUACUGAAGACUAACUACUGCGAAAGCAUUUGCCAAGGACGUUUUCAUUAA